Molecule: ribosomal RNA, 253 nt
Filed under: uncultured bacterium
Lineage: Bacteria
Description: partial 16S ribosomal RNA
Rfam family: Bacterial small subunit ribosomal RNA
Source: RNAcentral
UACGUAGAGUGCGAGCGUUAAUCGGAAUUACUGGGCGUAAAGCGUGCGCAGGCGGUUAUAUAAGACAGUUGUGAAAUCCCCGGGCUCAACCUGGGAAUUGCAUCUGUGACUGUAUAGCUAGAGUACGGUAGAGGGGGAUGGAAUUCCGCGUGUAGCAGUGAAAUGCGUAGAUAUGCGGAGGAACACCGAUGGCGAAGGCAAUCCCCUGGACCUGUACUGACGCUCAUGCACGAAAGCGUGGGGAGCGAACAGG